AGAAUAUACUGGGGGUUUAGUAUUUCAUAAAUAUUAAUUCCUUUCCACAGUUCUGGAUACUAGGAAGUCUGACUAGGGUACUGGUAGACACGGUGUCUUUCCUGUGUGAGGCCUGUCCAGUGUUUCUGCCAUGUCAUCUUGUUAGGUAAUCUAGGGAGGGGUAAACCAAACUGAAGUGUGCUCAUGAGAAAGAAGAGUUACAGGGCCACUCUGACUCAUGGUGUGGGGGCUGUGUGCGCCACCAUGAUGAGAAAAUAUGGUGAUGGAGAGGUGGGAAAGAUAGAAAAAUAGGGCGGGGCACGCACUGUGGAGAGAAGCAGAACUGGAGCUGUGAUGGCGGUGACAGGUGAGAGCGAGGGCUGAGGUGGCUGGGUAGGGUUGGUAGGCUGGUGUGCAGCACAGCCUGGAGCUUAUGCAAAUGAACUCAGCCUCUGAACCUUCUGCCCUGCCGAGGGUUUCCCCUGGCUCUGGGCAACAGUGAAGGCCCAGAUAAGGAAAGGUUCGCUUUCUGGACUGGACCUCCUUGGAGGAUCACCAUGGUUCUCCAUACCACUGGGGGCCAUGUUGGUGUCUGUGGUCCAUGCAGCUGCUCCAGGUCCCGAUGAAGCCUGAGAUCCACGUGGAGGCAGAUGUGUUUGAACACUUGGUCUGGAGCUGGUGGCACUGUCUGAGAAAUCCAUAGACCCUAGUAGGAACGGGUGUGCCUCGCUGGAGGACGCGGGUCACUGGAAGUGGUGGUUGUCCGCAGACAACCACGGCUGCUAUGAACUCAAGGACACAGAAGCCCUGCCAUGCGUAGAAGACGCCGGCCAGAGUCCUGCCUAACAUACCAGGCUAAAGGUUUUCUGCUCCCUCCUUGGUGAUGCCGCCUGUGCCUGGGGGAAGAGGGUGUGAUACAGGUGCCUCAUUUGUGGUUAAGCAGGCCACAGACUCUUUUUCUCUGCACUUUGACCAGCUGUAUGUUUCUAAGUUGACUACCAUCCACCACAAAAAGAAAUUUCUCUGAUGAGCUCUGAUAGCUGCACUAAAAUAGAGAAACACAUUUAGAGGGCAGUGUGACACUGUGUCCACUUAGUAAAGUAAUAGUAGUUUCACCCCUGGGGCCCAUGAGCUCCCCACCUGUUGGUUAGUGGCCAGAUUUACAACACAUUGAAGGAAGAAUGUGUUUCCUUCUGUAGAGUAGGGCUGAAAUCUAAGCAGAAAGCAGCUGGGUUACUCCUCUAAUAUCUAUGCUACUGUUGUACCCAUGAGCAUGUCUUGCCAUGCUGAUAAUUACUGUAGCUGAUGGGGUUCACAGCUGGCUAAGACUGAUGUUUUUUCCUCUAGCAUCUUGCAUAGUACCAUUCAGCACUGGGAAAGCAGGGAGGAAGCUUCUUGGUCAGUACCAACUUGAUUUCUUCAUAUCCUGUGACCAAAGAGUGUGGUAUCUUUGGUGUCUUCAAAUAGGGUCUUAUAAUCAAGUUCUGGUGGGCAACCAAGAGCAAUGGUAAUAGUUGUGUAAUUUGGGGGAUAUCUGAGACAUGCCCUUGUACUGCUUCUUGUCAAAUGCUUUGUCACAAU
Molecule: long non-coding RNA, 1560 nt
Organism: Psammomys obesus (fat sand rat)
Lineage: Eukaryota; Metazoa; Chordata; Mammalia; Rodentia; Muridae
Exons: 3
Source: RefSeq, a predicted model, not a curated record